UACAGAGGGUGCGAGCGUUAAUCAGAAUUACUGGGCGUAAAGCGUGCGUAGACGGUUAUUUAAGUCGGGUGUGAAAGCCCCGGGCUCAACCUGGGAAUUGCAUUCGAGACUGAAUAGCUAGGGUACGGUAGAGGGAAGCGGAAUUUCCGGUGUAGCGGUGAAAUGCGUAGAUAUCGGAAGGAACAUCAGUGGCGAAAGCGGCUUCCUGGACCAGUACCGACGUUCAGGCACGAAAGCGUGGGGAGCAAACAGG
Molecule: ribosomal RNA, 253 nt
Filed under: uncultured bacterium
Lineage: Bacteria
Description: partial 16S ribosomal RNA
Rfam family: Bacterial small subunit ribosomal RNA
Source: RNAcentral